GUAAUUUCAGCAGUUUUAUUAAAAAGUUCUCCAGUUAGCUGGUUAGUGCGAGAGACUCUUGAAGCAGCUGUGGAUUUCCAGGAUGCAGUAGUGAGACUGGCCAAGGUGCCGAUAAUCACAGAUGUCUAUUACAUUUUGGGUGGUGUUCAUGCUGGUGAGGGUGUGGUCAUCACCAGAGACCGGAGCGGGUCAGCUGACAUCUGGCCUCUGGAUCCACUUCAUGGAAACUGGUAUAGAGUUGAAACCAAUUAUGACCACUGGCUUCCCGCCCCUAAACAGGAUGACCGAAGGCAAGCAC
Long non-coding RNA from Sinocyclocheilus rhinocerous, 298 nucleotides. RefSeq lists it as uncharacterized. The record is from RefSeq and is a predicted model, not a curated record. The transcript is spliced from 3 exons. NCBI's taxonomy places the organism in Eukaryota, Metazoa, Chordata, Actinopteri, Cypriniformes, Cyprinidae.